RNAcentral lists this ribosomal RNA (1413 nucleotides) under Klebsiella aerogenes. RNAcentral describes it as "partial 16S ribosomal RNA". It matches the Rfam family "Bacterial small subunit ribosomal RNA". The record is from RNAcentral. Lineage: Bacteria; Pseudomonadati; Pseudomonadota; Gammaproteobacteria; Enterobacterales; Enterobacteriaceae.
GGGGGGGGGGGGGCUACACAUGCAAGUCGAGCGGUAACACAGAGAGCUUGCUCUCGGGUGACGAGCGGCGGACGGGUGAGUAAUGUCUGGGAAACUGCCUGAUGGAGGGGGAUAACUACUGGAAACGGUAGCUAAUACCGCAUAACGUCGCAAGACCAAAGUGGGGGACCUUCGGGCCUCAUGCCAUCAGAUGUGCCCAGAUGGGAUUAGCUAGUAGGUGGGGUAAUGGCUCACCUAGGCGACGAUCCCUAGCUGGUCUGAGAGGAUGACCAGCCACACUGGAACUGAGACACGGUCCAGACUCCUACGGGAGGCAGCAGUGGGGAAUAUUGCACAAUGGGCGCAAGCCUGAUGCAGCCAUGCCGCGUGUAUGAAGAAGGCCUUCGGGUUGUAAAGUACUUUCAGCGAGGAGGAAGGCAUUAAGGUUAAUAACCUUGGUGAUUGACGUUACUCGCAGAAGAAGCACCGGCUAACUCCGUGCCAGCAGCCGCGGUAAUACGGAGGGUGCAAGCGUUAAUCGGAAUUACUGGGCGUAAAGCGCACGCAGGCGGUCUGUCAAGUCGGAUGUGAAAUCCCCGGGCUCAACCUGGGAACUGCAUUCGAAACUGGCAGGCUAGAGUCUUGUAGAGGGGGGUAGAAUUCCAGGUGUAGCGGUGAAAUGCGUAGAGAUCUGGAGGAAUACCGGUGGCGAAGGCGGCCCCCUGGACAAAGACUGACGCUCAGGUGCGAAAGCGUGGGGAGCAAACAGGAUUAGAUACCCUGGUAGUCCACGCCGUAAACGAUGUCGACUUGGAGGUUGUGCCCUUGAGGCGUGGCUUCCGGAGCUAACGCGUUAAGUCGACCGCCUGGGGAGUACGGCCGCAAGGUUAAAACUCAAAUGAAUUGACGGGGGCCCGCACAAGCGGUGGAGCAUGUGGUUUAAUUCGAUGCAACGCGAAGAACCUUACCUACUCUUGACAUCCAGAGAACUUAGCAGAGAUGCUUUGGUGCCUUCGGGAACUCUGAGACAGGUGCUGCAUGGCUGUCGUCAGCUCGUGUUGUGAAAUGUUGGGUUAAGUCCCGCAACGAGCGCAACCCUUAUCCUUUGUUGCCAGCGGUUAGGCCGGGAACUCAAAGGAAACUGCCAGUGAUAAACUGGAGGAAAGGGGGGGGAUGAACUCCAAUCAUCAUGGGCCCUUCCAAAAAGGGGUACCCCCGUGCUUCAAUGGGGUAUUCAAAAAGAAACGACCCCCCGAAACAACGGACCCCCAAAGAAUUUCUAAUCCCGGAUUGGAGUGGGACUCGCCCCCUGAAGCGGAAACCCUAUAAUCUGAAACCAAAAGUCCGGGUAUACAUUCCCGGCCUUGCACCCCCGCCCCCCACCCCGCAAGGGUGGCGAAAAAAAAGAAGUUACCUCCGAGGGUCACUUGCUCU